RNAcentral lists this long non-coding RNA (723 nucleotides) under Anser brachyrhynchus (Pink-footed goose). Its description in RNAcentral is "lncRNA (ENSABRG00000012439.1)". Lineage: Eukaryota; Metazoa; Chordata; Aves; Anseriformes; Anatidae. The record is from RNAcentral.
UGCCCGCCCUCCCCAGCGUGCUGCGGGUGUUGGUUUGCUGAAGCUGAGACAACCACAAGAUGUUUCCAUAAAGAGCAGGAAAGUUGGAUUGAAUGUUCUCUCUCUUUAAAUGAAAAUACCUAUUCUUAACCUGAACCAAGGCCAGUGUAUCAUGCAACAUGGAUGAGUCAGAUUUUAAAGCAGUUUCUGCAAUCCCCCUGAUGCUUGGAGUGAUGCAGGAUGAGUCCAGCACAUAACAUCAAUGAGGCUCCUCUGUGCUCUCAGGGUAUUCAUGUGGUGUUCCAAUUCAUGCAUGUAUUGCUGCUUUAUCCUUUGGGAUGAACUCAUCUGGGGCAUUGACUUCGAGAAACAGCAGGAGAGAUGCUCAAAACAAGCCUGUGAAGCUGAAAAUAGCACACCCCAGUUGCUGCUGCUUUCAAGAUAAAGAUGUCACCAGAGUUCUCACCCAGAAGAUGGGAAAGGAGAGGAAAAGAAAAAGGAAGAAAGAAUUAUAAUUUUGCUGCUUUCUGGAACACUAAUUCAAGAUGUGUCAGCAUGAGGUGUUGUCUGAAAGACCACACUAUAUAGGUGAGGCACGCAAAUAUCCCCAGCCCUGACAUAUGUUAUAAAAGAUGGGGCAUUUUAUCUCUCUGACUCUAUGCUGGGUUGUGCACAUUUUUGUUAGAAGCAGGUGUAUUUUUGUGUGCAUUCAGCCAUCUUUUCACCUAAUAAUGUGAAUCUCCA